This 425-nucleotide ribosomal RNA is filed under the name uncultured bacterium. RNAcentral describes it as "bacterial SSU rRNA". It matches the Rfam family "Bacterial small subunit ribosomal RNA", at positions 354 to 796 of the family's 1533-position model. The record is from RNAcentral.
GUGGGGAAUAUUGGACAAUGGGCGCAAGCCUGAUCCAGCCAUGCCGCGUGAGUGAUGAAGGCCUUAGGGUUGUAAAGCUCUUUCAGUAGGGAAGAUAAUGACGGUACCUACAGAAGAAGCCCCGGCUAACUUCGUGCCAGCAGCCGCGGUAAUACGAAGGGGGCUAGCGUUGUUCGGAUUUACUGGGCGUAAAGCGCACGUAGGCGGAAUGUUAAGUCAGAGGUGAAAUCCUGGAGCUCAACUCCAGAACUGCCUUUGAUACUGGCAAUCUCGAGUCCGGAAGAGGUGAGUGGAACUCCUAGUGUAGAGGUGGAAUUCGUAGAUAUUAGGAAGAACACCAGUGGCGAAGGCGGCUCACUGGUCCGGUACUGACGCUGAGGUGCGAAAGCGUGGGGAGCAAACAGGAUUAGAUACCCUAGUAGUCC